This 253-nucleotide ribosomal RNA is filed under the name uncultured bacterium. RNAcentral's name for it is "partial 16S ribosomal RNA". It matches the Rfam family "Bacterial small subunit ribosomal RNA", at positions 524 to 776 of the family's 1533-position model. The record is from RNAcentral.
UACGAAGGUCCCAAGCGUUAUCCGGAUUUAUUGGGUUUAAAGGGUGCGUAGGCGGGUUAUUAAGUCAGUGGUGAAAGCCUUCAGCUUAACUGAAGAAUUGCCAUUGAUACUGAUGAUCUUGAGUAUGAUUGAGGUGGGUGGAAUGUGUCAUGUAGCGGUGAAAUGCUUAGAUAUGACACAGAACACCGAUUGCGAAGGCAGCUCACUAAGCCAUAACUGACGCUGAUGCACGAAAGCGUGGGGAGCAAACAGG